GCGGAUGUGGCGGAAUUGGCAGACGCGCAGCGUUCAGAACGCUGUGGACAAAAGUCCAUGAGAGUUCAAAUCUCUUCAUCCGCA
RNAcentral lists this transfer RNA (84 nucleotides) under bacterium (Candidatus Gribaldobacteria) CG_4_10_14_0_8_um_filter_33_9. RNAcentral's name for it is "tRNA-Leu". It matches the Rfam family "tRNA". From Rfam's summary of the family: Transfer RNA (tRNA) molecules are approximately 80 nucleotides in length. Their secondary structure includes four short double-helical elements and three loops (D, anti-codon, and T loops). The record is from RNAcentral. Lineage: Bacteria; Candidatus Gribaldobacteria.